GAAGGAAGAAAAAAAAAAAUCUGGAGAAGUAGGGAGAAGAUUUGUUUGUGUGUGACUACUAUGCAAAAGUAUUUUGUAUAUUCUUUCUGUAUGCUUUAUAGCU
RNAcentral lists this non-coding RNA (103 nucleotides) under Heterosigma akashiwo. The record is from RNAcentral. Lineage: Eukaryota; Raphidophyceae; Chattonellales; Chattonellaceae.